This 496-nucleotide ribosomal RNA is filed under the name uncultured bacterium. RNAcentral describes it as "partial 16S ribosomal RNA". It matches the Rfam family "Bacterial small subunit ribosomal RNA", at positions 28 to 506 of the family's 1533-position model. The record is from RNAcentral.
GAUGAACGCUGGCGGCGUGCCUAAUACAUGCAAGUCGAGCGAACGGACGAGAAGCUUGCUUCUCUGAUGUUAGCGGCGGACGGGUGAGUAACACGUGGAUAACCUACCUAUAAGACUGGGAUAACUUCGGGAAACCGGAGCUAAUACCGGAUAAUAUUUUGAACCGCAUGGUUCAAAAGUGAAAGACGGUCUUGCUGUCACUUAUGGAUGGAUCCGCGCUGCAUUAGCUAGUUGGUAAGGUAACGGCUUACCAAGGCAACGAUGCAUAGCCGACCUGAGAGGGUGAUCGGCCACACUGGAACUGAGACACGGUCCAGACUCCUACGGGAGGCAGCAGUAGGGAAUCUUCCGCAAUGGGCGAAAGCCUGACGGAGCAACGCCGCGUGAGUGAUGAAGGUCUUCGGAUCGUAAAACUCUGUUACUAGGGAAGAACAUAUGUGUAAGUAACUGUGCACAUCUUGACGGUACCUAAUCAGAAAGCCACGGCUAACUACGU